GACGAACGCUGGCGGCGUGCUUAACACAUGCAAGUCGAACGGAAAGGCCCUGCUUUUGUGGGGUGCUCGAGUGGCGAACGGGUGAGUAACACUUGAGUAACCUGCAAUUGCCUUUGGGAUAACUUCAGGAAACUGGGGCUAAUACCGGAUAGGAGCUCCUGCUGCUUGGUGGGGGUUGGAAAGUUUCGGCGGUUGGGGAUGGACUCGCGGCUUAUCAGCUUGUUGGUGGGGUAGUGGCUUACCAAGGCUUUGAGGGGUAGCCGGCCUGAGAGGGUGACCGGCUACACUGGGACUGAGAUAAGGCACAGACUCCUACGGGAGGCAGCAGUGGAGAAUAGUGCACAAUGGGCGGAAGCCUGAUGCAGCAACGCCGCGUGGGGGAUGACGGCCUGCGGGUUGUAAACCGCUUUCGCCUGUGACGAAGCGUGAGUGACGGUAAUGGGUAAAGAAGCACCGGCUAACUACGUG
Molecule: ribosomal RNA, 468 nt
Filed under: uncultured bacterium
Lineage: Bacteria
Description: partial 16S ribosomal RNA
Rfam family: Bacterial small subunit ribosomal RNA
Source: RNAcentral